Molecule: non-coding RNA, 268 nt
Filed under: Oryza sativa Indica Group (long-grained rice)
Lineage: Eukaryota; Viridiplantae; Streptophyta; Magnoliopsida; Poales; Poaceae
Description: Bacterial large subunit ribosomal RNA
Rfam family: Bacterial large subunit ribosomal RNA
Source: Rfam by way of RNAcentral
AUUGAGGGGGGCUGUCCUAGUACGAGAGGACCGGAGUGGACCAUCACUGGUGUUCGGGUUGUCAUGCCAAUGGCACUGCCCGGUAGCUAAAUGCGGAAGAGAUAAGUGCUGAAAGCAUCUAAGCACGAAACUUGCCCCGAGAUGAGUUCUCCCUGAGACUAUAAGUCUCCUGAAGGAACGUUGAAGACGACGACGUUGAUAGGUCGGGUGUGUAAGCGCAGCGAUGCGUUGAGCUAACCGAUACUAAUGAACCGUGAGGCUUAACCUU